GCUGGGCGCUGGGCGGGGCGGGCGGCGGAGCCUCCCCUCGCUGUACGCGCUGCCCGGCUCGGUUCUUGUCAGUUAGCAACAAAAUGGCCGCGGCGGCAGCAGCUGUGCUACCGAGAACGGCGGCGGUGGCGAUAACGACUACGACGACGGUGGUGGUGGUGGCAGAAGCAGCGGUGGUGGUGGUGGAGGUGGAGGCGUCCGAAUCGGCGGCGCGGAGGAGCAGCGGGGGCCCGGCUCAGCAGCACUGAGCGGACACCGAGAGCGAGCGGCGGAGAGCGGCCCCCAACCCGCUGCACGAACCCCCCGCCCCGGGGGCAUCUCCGCUGCGUUCCCCCCUUCAUUCCUUACCCCCAACCGGAGGGACUCGGCCGGAUCCUUCCCCUCCCGCUGCUUCCUGCGGUGCGGAUCGUCCCGGGAGGGCGCUGUUGUUACUAAGGGGGGGGUGUUCCUUUACGGGACCGUGCUUUAUUUGGCUGAUUUGAUUCUGUCCUGUUUUUAUUUGCACUUUUUCACCUCCCUCAGAUGCUCCUUUACUCGGACUGAACCUACCGGGAAGCGGCAGAGCCCGUCCCGACCCGGUUCGGAUCUUGUUUGCAACGCGGACCGUGGUGCGUUAAGCACGGACUGAGCCGCGCCGGGAUCCGCAGCGCUCCGUGUGUUCGCCUCCAUCUCCUCCUCUGUGCCGUUUAUCCCCUUUGGAGGGUUUAUAGACAAAACGACGACAAGAAACUUUAAUUUUUAAAGAAUUAUUAUUACUAUUUUUAUUUUUUUUUUGGCCGCGUUGAGAUUUUUUUUCUUUUUUUUUUUUUUAAUUUUUUUCUCGCAUCGAUUCGUGAAAUUACGGGUACAAUUAACGGAAAGAGAGAAAGGGGGAGGGAGAGGUUAAAAAUAAAAAGGGGGGGUGGGGGGGGGGAAGAAAGAAAAUCAACCGCCACCAACACAACCCGCAACCUAAGGAAGGAAAACGUCUGUGAGACCCCUCCGUUAGGCGACAUCCCUGCGACACCGACCCGAAAGCUGCCAAAGAGCCCCGCACAGAGCAGGACACAAGGGAGAAAGAAGAAGAAACACAAGAAGAGGAACAUUUGAUGGAA
Coturnix japonica (Japanese quail) is the source of this 1094-nucleotide non-coding RNA. The record is from RefSeq and is a predicted model, not a curated record. NCBI's taxonomy places the organism in Eukaryota, Metazoa, Chordata, Aves, Galliformes, Phasianidae.